CCUANGGGGGGCAGCAGUGGGGAAUAUUGGACAAUGGGCGAAAGCCUGAUCCAGCCAUGCCGCGUGGGUGAAGAAGGCCUUAGGGUUGUAAACCCCUUUCAGCGGGGACGAUAAUGACGGUACCCGCAGAAGAAGUCCCGGCUAACUCCGUGCCAGCAGCCGCGGUAAUACGGAGGGGACUAGCGUUGUUCGGAAUUACUGGGCGUAAAGCGCACGUAGGCGGAUUUGUAAGUCAGGGGUGAAAUCCCGAGGCUCAACCUCGGAACUGCCUUUGAUACUGCAAAUCUCGAGUCCGGAAGAGGUGAGUGGAAUUCCUAGUGUAGAGGUGAAAUUCGUAGAUAUUAGGAAGAACACCAGUGGCGAAGGCGGCUCACUGGUCCGGUACUGACGCUGAGGUGCGAAAGCGUGGGGAGCAAACAGGAUUAGAUACCCCANUANUC
Molecule: ribosomal RNA, 440 nt
Filed under: uncultured bacterium
Lineage: Bacteria
Description: bacterial SSU rRNA
Rfam family: Bacterial small subunit ribosomal RNA
Source: RNAcentral